RNAcentral lists this long non-coding RNA (822 nucleotides) under Mytilus galloprovincialis (Mediterranean mussel). Lineage: Eukaryota; Metazoa; Mollusca; Bivalvia; Mytilida; Mytilidae. The record is from RNAcentral.
AAAGACUUAUGGAGGCUAUUCCCACGACUCGGUCUAGUCUUUUUCAGCAUGUAAAGCGUGCAAUAUACCAUGGCGGCUAUGAAUGAGUAACAAGCUUGGAAUUGGUUCCUAUGCUUACUAGUCCAGACGCUUAUGAAUGGCGAAGGAACAAAUAUGAUCCAUGGGAACCCUUUUGAACUCUUAGUGAGGCCUCUUCAUCUUAUCAGGAGCUUGUACAUUAUGGAUGUAAGAAAUAAUACCAGUCUUUGUAAAUGUGGAAAAUCAGCUCUCCGAUUGUGAAUAAACAUGUAUUUGCGGGCUAACGAGUAUGCUGAUUGGGUAUUAUGUCCUUACCUCAAUAAAAUACCUUGAAACUGUAACACGAGUGGAUAAAUUCUCGGAUGCGUAUGGUAGUUGUAGCAACAAAUGUUCAGGAUAUUCUAUCUUAUCCACCACGUUAUGUAUUUCAAGUUUAGCACUAUGUUCACAUUAAGAGGCAGACACUAGAAUCAUGGUGCAUGUAUCUCGUGCAGUGUAACACAAACUUAAACGAGUCAUGAUUCGAACAGUCGUUACUGAUGAUGCUGUCAUUACUGUUUCGCUUCUCCGUGACAUAGGGGUAGACGAACUAUGGAUUGUGUUUGGGAGGGCAAAAAACUUUGAAUUAAUAUCUAUCAAUGACCUUUCAAAUGCACUAGGCAAUGAGUGAUCACACACACUUAUUGUGAUCCAUGCCUUUACCAGUUGUGAUACAGUUCUAUCUUUGCUUGAAAAGAAAAAAGACUGCGUGUGAGACAUUGAUGGCAUUUGAAAAUGUGACUUUAACAUAAAGAAUGAUGAUUG